This is an RNA transcript of Gastrolobium bilobum, 3770 nucleotides long. It is a transcript of the gene named disease resistance protein RUN1-like, with no coding region annotated. The record is from RefSeq and is a predicted model, not a curated record. Lineage: Eukaryota; Viridiplantae; Streptophyta; Magnoliopsida; Fabales; Fabaceae. The transcript has 9 exons.
UAAUUUAAUGGCUUCAUCAUCUUCCUCAACAACAACAAGCACUUCUUCAUCUCGGAUGAUAUGGAAAUAUGACGUGUUUGUCAGCUUCAGAGGUGAAGACACACGUAAUAACUUCACCGAUCAUCUUUUCGGUGCUCUCCAAAGAAAAAAUAUUGUUGCCUUCAGAGAUGAUACAAAGCUCAAGAAAGGCGAAUCCAUAGCACCUGAGCUCCUUCAAGCAAUUGAAGGGUCUCAAAUUUUUAUUGUUGUCUUCUCAAAGAACUAUGCUUCCUCAACAUGGUGCUUGCGAGAACUCGCAAAGAUCCUCGAUUGCGUUCAAGUAUCAGGAAAACGACGUGUUCUGCCUGUUUUCUAUGAUGUUGAUCCGUCUGAAGUGAGAAAACAAAGUGGGAAUUAUGAGAAAGCCUUUGUUGAACAUGAAGAAAGAUUCAAAGAAGAUUCAGAUAUGAUGGUGGAAGUGAAAAGAUGGAGAAGAGAUCUGACAGAAAUUGCCAAUCUUUCUGGUUGGGAUGUACGGGAUAAGCCUCAAUAUGCAGAGAUUGAAAAAAUUGUUAAAGUGAUAAUUAGUAUAUUAUUGGAUCAGGAAAUUUCAAGUCUUCCAAAUGAUCUAGUUGGGAUAGAAUCUCCAGUAGCAGAAUUAGGAAAGCUUUUACUUUGGAGCUCAGUUGAUGCUGUUCAGGUUAUAGGAAUUUAUGGUAUGGGUGGAAUAGGUAAGACAACGCUUGCUACUCUUUUAUAUGAAAGAAUCUCUCAUCGAUUUGAUGCUUCCUUUUUCAUUGCUGAUGUAAACAAGUCUGAUCCAAUUGAUGUACAAAAACAACUUCUACGUCAAGCUCUAAAUGAAGAAAACCUUCAUAUAUCCGAUCCUUUUACAGCAGCUAAUUUGAUACGACGUAGGCUUGGUCAUCUAAGGGUCCUUAUAGUUCUUGAUAAUGUUGAUCAAGUUGAACAAUUAGAGAAAUUAGCUUUGAAUCGUGAAUGGUUGGGUGCGGGGAGUAGAAUCAUCAUUACUUCUAGAGACUUGCAUAUCUUUAGAGAGUAUGGAGUGGACAAUGUUUACACAGUCGAACUCUUGAAUGGUGAUAAUGCUCUUCAAUUAUUUUGUAGAAAAGCUUUCAAAUAUGAUGAUAUUAGGAGAGGUUAUGAAGCUUUGACAUAUGACAUACUAAGUUAUGCUAAUGGCCUUCCACUGGCAAUUAAAGUAUUGGGCUCAUUUUUAUUUGGUCGAGAUGUCUCUGAGUGGAUAAGUGCAUUGGCUAGAUUGAGAGAAAAUCCAAGCAAAGAUAUCAUGGAUGUGCUCCGAAUCAGUUAUGAUGGAUUGGAAGAAAUGGAAAAAGAAAUAUUUCUAGAUAUUGCGUGUUUCUUCAAUGGGCAGCCGUUGGAUUUAGUUAAGAGAUGUCUAGACUGUUGUGGAUUUCAACCUGAUAUUGGAAUACGAGUUCUCAUUGAUAAAUCACUCCUAACCACUUCAGAUUAUUAUGCUAGAUUUCCACAUAUUAAAAUGCAUGAUUUGUUGCAAGAGCUAGGAAGAAAAAUAGUUCGAGAAAAUUCACCCAAGGAACCAAGAAAGUGGAGCCGACUUUGGCUAUAUAAAGAUUUCUGCAAGGUUGCAUUGGAUAAGAAAAUGGAAAAUAAGGUUGAAGCUGUAGCUUUGAAUGGUAAAGAAGAAACUGGAAGAUUGACGGUUGAAGCAUUGUCAAAAAUGAGUCACCUUAGAAUGCUUAUACUCAGUAAUGUGAAAUUUUCAGGCAGCCUCAAUUGUCUUUGUAAUAAAUUACGAUAUGUUGGGUGGAGAGAAUAUCCGUUCAUGUAUUUGCCAUCAAGUUUUCAGCCGGAUGAGCUUGUUGCAUUGAACUUGAAGCAUAGCAGCUUGAAACAAUUAUGGCAAGGCAAGAAGUAUAUGCCUAAUUUGAUAAGGCUGGAUCUUAGCCACUCCAAAAAUCUUAGCAAGAUGCCAGAUGUUGGAGAGGUCCCAAAUCUUCAGUUACUGGAUCUUGAAGGAUGUAUAAAACUUGUGGAGAUAGAUCCAUCCAUUGGUCAUCUAAGAAAGCUUACUGUCUUGAAUUUGAAAAACUGCAAAAAUCUAGUAAGCAUACCCAACAGCAUAGUGGGUCUCACUUCUCUUGAAUAUCUAAAUCUCUCCGGCUGUUCAAAAGUGUUAAAUAACCAGCUAACAAGUCAUGGGGAGCAUUUGAAGAAGCUUGAUAUAAGUGAAACUGUUAUGCACUCCCAAUCAACAUCCUCCAUCUUCAAAAGGUUUUUGUUGCCUUACCCUUUAUUGUAUUCUAGAAUACAUAAAGAUUCAGCUACUUGUUUGUUGCCCUCCUUGCCUAGCUUCUCUUGUUUGAGAUAUCUUGAUCUAAGUUUCUGCGAUCUAGUACAAAUCCCUGAUGCUAUUGGAAGUAUACAUUGUUUAGAAAGACUAUAUUUAGAGGGAAACAAUUUUGUUAGAUUGACUUGUAGCCUGAAGGAGCUUUCCAAACUUGUGUUUUUAAACUUGUCCCAUUGCAAGCACUUGACAUCUUUGCCGGAGCUCCCUCUGGGUACCCCUUCAGGUACAUACAUUCCUGAGCAUUUGAGAAUACGAAAAUUAUACGUUUUCAACUGCCCAAAUUUGGGUGAGAGAGAACGCUGCAGUAGUAUGAUUUUUCCAUGGAUAACAGAAGUCAUUCAGGCGAGGCAAGAAUCAUCUUCUGGCAUUUGUUGGAUUGAUAUUGUUGUUCCUGGAAGUGAAAUACCAAGGUGGUUCAGCAAUCAGACUGUGGGUUGUUCAUUAAGGGUAGACCUGUCACCCAUUAUGCAUGACAAUAAUUGGAUUGGCAUUGCUUGCUGUGUAGUGUUUGUGGCACUUACUGAUCCAAUUACUUUGAGAAAUGAACAGAUACCCUAUUUACAGAUACGUUUUACUUGUAAAGCAGAUCAGAUCAUAAGUGGCUAUUCCCUGUGCAGACUCGAUGAAGGUCUGGUAACAGUAGAAUCAGAUCAUAUGUGGCUAUACUAUUUCCCUAGGGAACAAUCAGUUGAUUUUAUGAGUCGGGCAGCUCGCAAAAAGGGCGAGACGCAUGAUCUUGAAGAUAUCAAGAUGGAAGUUUUGUUCGAUCAUCUUGGAUCAUAUGGAGAAAGAAGUGGCCUAGGUGCGCAGUUGGAGGUGAAGAAUUGUGGGUAUCAUUGGGUAUUUAAGAAGGAUCUUGAACUGUUUCAGAAGAUGCAUACUGGUAAUUUGCCAGCACAAAAGGGUGGAAUUUUAGGAAUUGAUGAUUAGCCAUGGCCAUACACAUUAGGCUGAUUAACAAAAAGCAAUACCAACUGCAUUUGAGCUGCAUUUGGAAUAAGCUAUAUCCAUAAGGAUUGAUGCCAUCUCAGGUUAUCAAACGACCACCAGCAAAUGGAUCAGGUUUUAAAGCCCAAGUUCAACAUGUUUAAAUGAAUCAGAACCCAAGUAUAAGAAGCCAUAAGUAAAGAAUUGUCUCGAUCUAAAAUCUUAAGGUGUCAGGAUUGAGGCAAUUGGACCAACAUUGGGUGACCAACCGUUGGAGCAAGUUAUGGAGCUUGAUUAGCUCAUUGGAAUAGGUUUUAUUUGAAAAGAGUGAUUAUUGUAAUUGGCUGCUGAAACUGUUGGUGAAGAACAAAGGUCGACUGAAGCAUUGAGGUAAGGAAGCUGCAGGAGCCUCUGAUGGCAAGUGACCUUAUUUGCAGUAGAUCAUGCAUGAAGAAAAUGAUGUUUUGAGAUCAUACAUGUUGUUUUGUAGAUUUACAUGUAUAGGAUCGAU